RNAcentral lists this ribosomal RNA (429 nucleotides) under Acidobacteriota bacterium. RNAcentral describes it as "Acidobacteria bacterium partial 16S ribosomal RNA". It matches the Rfam family "Bacterial small subunit ribosomal RNA", at positions 355 to 776 of the family's 1533-position model. Lineage: Bacteria; Pseudomonadati; Acidobacteriota. The record is from RNAcentral.
UGGGGAAUUUUGGACAAUGGGGGAAACCCUGAUCCAGCCAUCCCGCGUGUGCGAUGAAGGCCUUCGGGUUGUAAAGCACUUUUGGCAGGAAAGAAACGUCAUGGGUUAAUACCCCGUGAAACUGACGGUACCUGCAGAAUAAGCACCGGCUAACUACGUGCCAGCAGCCGCGGUAAUACGUAGGGUGCAAGCGUUAAUCGGAAUUACUGGGCGUAAAGCGUGCGCAGGCGGUUCGGAAAGAAAGAUGUGAAAUCCCAGAGCUCAACUUUGGAACUGCAUUUUUAACUACCGGGCUAGAGUGUGUCAGAGGGGGGUGGAAUUCCGCGUGUAGCAGUGAAAUGCGUAGAUAUGCGGAGGAACACCGAUGGCGAAGGCAGCCUACUGGGAUAACACUGACGCUCAUGCACGAAAGCGUGGGGAGCAAACAGG